AAAAAAAUGCUCUCAAGAAGAUCUUCUUCAAGAACAAUUCAUCAACAGGAUGCAUUUGUAAUCCAUGCUUAACAUGUACACUCCCACUCCGAAGACACAAAGAUCUUUUUACACUUUAAAUUAUAUUUUACAUAAAUAUCCUUCCUCCUAUUCUUCGCAAGUGGAAACUAUGAUGUGAAUUACAUUGCAUUCUUCUGUUCAUGAAACUAA
Molecule: non-coding RNA, 210 nt
Organism: Pelobates cultripes (western spadefoot toad)
Lineage: Eukaryota; Metazoa; Chordata; Amphibia; Anura; Pelobatidae
Source: the annotation of a GenBank genome assembly